RNAcentral lists this long non-coding RNA (1250 nucleotides) under Anas platyrhynchos (mallard). RNAcentral describes it as "lncRNA (ENSAPLG00020003397.1)". The record is from RNAcentral. Lineage: Eukaryota; Metazoa; Chordata; Aves; Anseriformes; Anatidae.
AUGGGGUGGGUGAUCAGAGCUCAUGGGCAAGGGCUGCCCCGUGCCUGGGCUGGGCACCCAGCGAGGCUUCAGCCGGGCUCUGGUGUGCUGGGGAACCCGUCACCAGCCACUGCUGAAGCCCUGCACGCCUUUCCCCUUCUCCCUGGGGAUGGUGCGUCCCUGACCCUGUGCCCCACAGUCCCCACUCUUUGCUCUGACACCCCGUCCCCUUGGGAUGGGACCUGGCAUGCGGGUAGCAGAUGUGUCGGUGUCCCUGCUGCAGGACUGGCGCUCCUUGGUGCCCCGGCAAUCGUCUCUGCAUUGGGGUUUAAGGCGGGCGGCGUCACUGCGGGGUCCGCGGCUGCCAAGAUGAUGUCGGCGGCUGCCAUAGCCACCAGCGGAGGAGUGGCUGCCGGCAGCAUCGUGGCCGUGCUGCCGUGGCUCGGAGCCGCAGGACUCUCUGCUGGUGCCCAAGUGGGGCUGACAUCAAUCCUGGGGACACUCGGUGGAGCAGUUGGUGCCAUUUGUUUUAGGGGAGCACAGCUCCAGGUGGCAAACCCAAGGAAUGCCAGGAGGCAGCGGACGGCACUGGGAAGAGCCCCGCCAGCCCAGCAGCUCCUCUGCAGCCGCGCAGGGAGCUGCCGACACGCUUGAGCAUUUAGCAUAUGGAAAAUAAUAAAAAUGGCUUUGCAGGUGAUGUGUCGUGGUGGCUUGUGUGUGUCUGUGUCAGGGGAUGUGGUGGUUUUUCUUAAAUCUGCUCUCACAGAGGUGCAAACAACAUCACUUAUUGGCCCAGCUCCAGCCAGCGGCGGGGCCUUUAUCCACCAUUUGGCAGCUUCUGGAUUCUUCUCACAGAAGCCACCCCUCUGCCCCUCACCCCAAAAACCUAGCCAAAUAAACCUUCUACAGGGUGGGAGAGGGGCUCCCAUGCAGUGGCGCCUCAGCUGCCUUGGACCUUCACGUUUCUUCCUUCAUGCUCAGCUGGUGGUGACCGCAAUAACGCAGGGAUGAGCGGUGCGUGGAUCCUGCCCCACCCAGCACGAGGCAUGGCCGCAGGUUCACGAGGUUGUGCAGGAGGAGGUUGGGGUUUAGGGCUUCCAACUCGUGAAUUCCAAAGAGCUGUAAAAUGCCAUUGCUGUGCUGACACACCAGGGAGAAUUUCAGUUUCCCCGUGCCUGAAUCAGAGGGUUGUGUGACUGACCUGCUGUGCCCAGAGGGGCUCUGCUUGUCUGACCUGGGAACAGCGGCAAGAACCCCACUAUUUAAGGAGC